GAACACCAACAUAGGGUAGUAUGUCAAACAUAUAAUAUUCAAUUGAGAAGCUUGGAAAAACUCACAAUUUACUGAGCAUUUAUAAGUUUGCUCUAAACUAUAUAGCUGGAGUGAAUCAUUCAGAUGUACAUGGAUCCAAUGUAUAGGUCCCCCAGGAGGUGUUUGCAGUCCUCAAGCAGGUAAAUCAGGAACCAGGUAACCGGGUACAAGUAGAAAAUAAAUUUAUUAUAAUAAAACACAAUAAAAAGCACAACGCGUUUCGACCCAACAGAGAG
Molecule: non-coding RNA, 275 nt
Organism: Pelobates cultripes (western spadefoot toad)
Lineage: Eukaryota; Metazoa; Chordata; Amphibia; Anura; Pelobatidae
Source: the annotation of a GenBank genome assembly